Molecule: unclassified non-coding RNA, 404 nt
Filed under: Argentina glabriuscula
Lineage: Eukaryota; Viridiplantae; Streptophyta; Magnoliopsida; Rosales; Rosaceae
Description: Potentilla glabriuscula partial external transcribed spacer
Source: RNAcentral
CGGGUUGUGUGGGUUGGCGGGCUCCGUGCUUCGGCAUCGAACCGUCCGCGCACGCUCCAUGUCAGUGAUGCAUCAAGAAUUUCUUGUGCCCCGAACGGAUUCCUGUAUUUGUUGCCUAUCGUAAAGGAAUGGUUCCUCUCGUUGACCCUUUCCUUCCCCGACCCAUGCGGCCUGGGGAAGGACAUCAUAGCAACGCUUGUGCCCCUAGUACUGAACGUGCCUCAUGGCGCGCACAUUGCGAAGGUUCCCAAGUUGCAUGCUUGAUAUCUCGGAUACGGAAAAUGCGGUGGACUCGGGGUCUUUGCACCCUUGCACGUCCAAUUUAAAGCGAAAUGUACGACUGCCAAGCUCGUUGCGGGGUUUCCCGCGCGCUGCUUGGCGUCGACAAAGGAUGCUACCUGGUU